RNAcentral lists this long non-coding RNA (3377 nucleotides) under Patiria miniata (bat star). Its description in RNAcentral is "uncharacterized LOC119736323". Lineage: Eukaryota; Metazoa; Echinodermata; Asteroidea; Valvatida; Asterinidae. The record is from RNAcentral.
GUAUCUACACAGUGCUGAAGAGAUCUACAGCAUCUACACAGUGCUUAAGGGGUCUACAGCAUCUACACAGUGCUUAAGGGGUCUACAGUAUCUACACAGUACUAAAGAGGUCUACAGCAUCUACACAGUGCUAAAGAGGUCUACAGCAUCUACACAGUGCUUAAGGGGUCUACUGCAUCUACACAAUGCUAAAGAGGUCUACGACAUCUACACAGUGCUAAAGGGCUGUACAGUUAAUUCUUGAGUAUUACAUUUUCUUUUUCAGAUUUGUGGCUCUGGAAGAAUUUUGUUUAAAGGGAAUACGAAGUUAAAACGAUAAUAUUGGCAUGGAGCCCGACUAACCUUUGUCACAGAAAAAACAGUAACUGCGCAUGUUCAGUGCAUAUCCGGCAAAGUAACGUUUACUAAGGGUUUGCCAUCUCCAGCAAAAUAUACACUGCCUAAAAAAUAAGGAGAACUAAAUCCACUUUGACUUAAUACUUGGCAUCAUUGCGAAUUGUGUAGUAUGAUGUGUGUCUUCCAUUCAAUGUAAGCCACAAUUUGCUCGUAAUAAUUUAUAAUUAUCUUAGUACGACGUCAUGAAACCAAACAUUGUGCCUUUCUUUAAGCUGGCAGCUCAUAGAAUCCUCAUUUAAACUGUACUUUUUUUUCUUGCUUUUUUUUUACUAGAUAGUAUAAAAUAAUUAAAAAAUAAUGAGAACCUGCCCACCUCUCCAAUUGUCAAGGCCUCACUGUCAAUAUAUUUUUAUUUUUAGUUUUUGAAUUUGCCUUAUUCCACCCCCCCCCCCCCAUCACUACAUGUGAAGAAUAGUUUCCAAAUAAUGAAUGUUUUUACCUGAAGGUACCAUGGUGUAAAUCUUUUCCUAAGUUGAAUGAUAGAAUGUUCCUUUGUACGAGGUUAAGCUGAGUUGAAUGGAACACUUCUCUUCGACCCAUAAUCCUCAAAUCAACUGACAAGGAUUUCCAUUGUGUAAUAUUUAAAAUGAGAGAAAUAAGUGUUAUUUUUUCAAUUACAGGCAUUUGGAUACCAUCAAUCAACACAUUCAGCAGUGCUACAAACGUAUCUGUGCUGUUUCCAGGAUAGACCGUGCAGUUAUACUUGCCAAGAAAUGACAACAUGAAAGUCAAGAUACAACAUGUUCCAGAUGGGAACUGUGAUGGAGUCACUGAUGCUGCCAAACAAGGAUGCCUUCCUUGCACCUGCACAUAAAGAGGGCUAACUACCAGGCAACCGUAUACAAGCGGGCACUGGAUGCAAGUCCUGAAGUGCCGUCUCCACACAGAAGAGGAUGGAAGGUCAUAGGUUAAUGACAUCAGUAUCCACUGGAUGGAUAUUCCCCCUGCCCCAGACAGUGCAAUGGAAUUGGCCCAUUGCUCAUGUAAAAAAGUCAAUGCACAAAAGGCAAGUGUAGCUGUCUUGAAAAAAAACUGCCGUGCACAGACUUGGGCAAGUGCACAAACUGUGAAAACAUUCCAAGUGAAGGGCAGCGCACUUUACCAGAGAGUGAUUCAGAUAUCGAGGCUUAACUACUGUAAAAAUUGACCACGUACAUGUAUGUCUAUCUAAAUAAGGAAUAAGAUUGUCACUUCAGAAACUAUGAAUCACACAGUCUGCUUCCCAUCCACUUAAAUAUUUCCAAAUAUGAAUCUGACAAUAGCAUGAUAAUAUGAAACAAAUUGCAGUCUUACAGUUGAAAUGGACACCGUGGACUUUGUUACGGGAUUUCUCCACUUGCAGUUUCAGCAAGGGGAUGGGAAAUAAUUUACCGUGUGUUUUCCUUUUUGACAAUCCUUUUUUUAAAGCGCUGACCGUGAAGCAAAAGAAGUUGUUUUGGUAAUUUGUAAGAGCUUAAACAGUUUAUUCCUCUUCGGUAAUGUUCAUGAUUACAGUCAUUUCAUUUGUUGAUGAAAUAGACUCUAUUAAGACAUGCUUGAGAGUUUUUUGUUAUAGUAAUUCCUUUGGGGGGGGGGGGUGCAGAAGAUUGUCCUCCAAGAUGCUAGGCAAAAGGCCCAAAAGGUUCUAGGUUGAUGCCUUUGUGCAGAGAGAAAUGCUUCAUAUUUUCAAUGAGAUGUAUUCACCAAUCCUUUCAUACAUUGUACCAUGUUCUCGACCGCAGUUCUGGCUUUUUUGAAGUUUGAUGACAUGUUUCGUGUUCGCCUUAGACCCUUCAAUUGAUUUGAAAUUUAGACAAUGGAACUCACUGUAGAUAACGGAUGUAGUUUCAAGAUACCAAUGGAUUUGCCAUUGAAAGAUUCAUGUCUGUUCACCAUUUUUGAAAUGACUAACCUUUGUUGAAAUGAUAUGAAGAACAGAGGGGUGCCAGGUUGCAACAGUCUUUCCCGGAACAUGUUUAAUAUUUAAGACAGUUGAUACAAAUUUAAAGGAAUGUAAUUGCCGUUAAUUUGAAUCCUAAAUAAUAUUGGCUCCACCGUAUUGUAAUUUUUGCCAAUCACAGUAAUUAUUUCUGAAGUAUUUUUAAAUAAAGGUUACCGUAUUGUCUUUUGUAUGAAUAAAUAUGCAUCAAAGGCUGAAGUUAUAAAGCCCUGUGGUCAUGUUUAUUUGUUCAUUCAGACUAAAUUCAUUGGUAUUUAUGUCGGACCCUUUAUUGACAGUUAUCAUCAUAAGCCUGCACCCUGUACAACCUUAUCAUCACGGAUACAUGUACCGGUAUACAUGUACACAAGAGGAAAGUCUUUCUGCCAAGGGGCACAUAAGGGGACGGGCUAUUCUAGAUUGGAACAAAUUCCCGUAGCAAAAGUAGGAAAUCUGUCUCGUUGCGUGGUUGAAUUAGUCCAUCAUAAAAUUGAUUUAUCACUGUUUUUUUCUGUUUUUUGCAUUGUGUCAUUUCUUAUUUAAAGACUACUUUUCCAACAAGCUGGCUUAUAAUUGUAUAUUGAUAUAACACAACAAAAUAGACACCAGAUAACUCAGUUUCCAUGAUUUGUAAUAUAAAGGGAUUCCAUCUCCAUCCUUUAUUUUAUUACAAAAUGUUUUCUUCGGUUCUUGUUAUCAGACAUGCAACAUUAAAAUAAUAAGGAAAGAGGAAAAUACAAUCGUUACAAUACUUUCUACUGUAAAGCCUGUGUUAAGCCUGGACAUGAGUUUAAAGUUAAAACUGAUGAACUCAGCUUAUCCAAGGAAAAGUUGUCUUUCUAGGAAUGUCGGACCCAUUAAAUAUUCAUUGAUAUACAGUACAUGUACAGUACUUUACCUGUUACCGCGAAAGUAGUACUAAGUCGCCACAGAAUGUUUCCCAUUAACAGCAUUGUGUGUUUUUUUGCUGAUUUGGGAAAUUUGAGAAUCAUAAACACAAAAUUGCUUUUAAAACUUAGUAAUUUUUUGUAGUAAAUAGAUAUAAAAUGUGCACUUUAUAUUA